This is a long non-coding RNA of Polypterus senegalus (gray bichir), 1268 nucleotides long. RefSeq lists it as uncharacterized. The record is from RefSeq and is a predicted model, not a curated record. NCBI's taxonomy places the organism in Eukaryota, Metazoa, Chordata, Cladistia, Polypteriformes, Polypteridae. The transcript is spliced from 3 exons.
CCCUUUCCAGGUAGGUUGGCCGUGUUAUAAAAGGGGGUAAAUACAAUACAAUACACAGCAACCCUCACUGUAGUACAAUAGUGCAAUCGAAAUAUUACAAGUACAGAGCGGAAUUCAACAGUAGAAGAUCAGAGCUAUGUUGUCUGCCUAAUUAAAUGUAAUUUGUCUGGACUUAAGCAGUACGUAAUCUUAUUCACCCUGCUGGACAAGCUACAUCAGCCAGGGAUAAAUCACCAAAAGAAUGAGCUGCCAUUUCAUCAUCUAUAGCAAGCGGUCUUAUAAAAACAACAGCUUUGAACUUUCGCAAGUGAUUUUUCCAACUGGUGUGGCAAAAGGCAAGCAGUCCUUUGAAGAUCCACGUGAAGAACAGAGAAUCCAUCCAUUGUGGCCCUCGACACCAACGCUGCAGUAUGUCUCUGCUCAAAAUGGUAGACCAUGUUGAAGCCAAGUUCAUUGGCAAAAUAAAAGGUAAGGAUAUUAUUCUACACAGUUUUAAUUAUUUUACAUAGUCCUAGCGUUUUAUUUUACAGUGUAUAUAAUGUGUUUAUUUCCUGUUCUUUUUCAGGUCGUGGCAUAUUUGCAAAAGCAUUAAUUCCAAGGGGUAACCUUGUUACAGAAUUCAGAAUUUUACUUCUGAACCAAGAAAAACUAGAAAAAAAAUAUAAUUUGCUUUCUUCCACAUCUGAGUACUAGGUCACAUACAAAUGGAAGUCUUUCUGGCAUUUUUGUAAAUGAAGAAAUGACUUAUGGUUCUGGAGGGUGUGAUUUUCCUUAAUGGAAUACUAAGCACAAGUGCACAUCCAGUACCUAUGGUUCAAGGGACUCUGUCAUUGACCCAUCAACUCUCAAAAAGCCAGUAGUGCAUACUCAGAGUUGCAGAUCAGCAUCAAAAAGAGACCCUGCUCAGCAGGCAGGACUUGAGAGGCUCUCAGUGUGAGGUGGGAUUACUGGCACACUCUGUUACAGUUAGUUUGGAUUUUUGAUUUAAUAUUACAGUUGGAUUUCAUUUUGAAGUCUGUGUGACAGGAUGUGACUUAUAAGGUCGGAAUGUAUUUAGAGGGACAUGUUGGGUGACUGAUUUCUAUUUCUCUGAUAAUAGCAAUCUGUGUGUAUUGGUAAAAUAUUAUGGUUUAUGAAGAGGACUACAUUGUUCCAGCUUAAGCAUCUCACGCGUUUCACACAAUCUUAAAAAGUAUUGUAUGGAUGUUAUGUGGGAUUAUCUGAUUUAUUGUUAAAUAUUUAAGCACAUCUUUUUUUGAUAUGUAUGA